AACCUAGCACACCUGCGGUGUGUACCUGCGGAAGGAUCAUUAACUAUAUUACGGGGGGCCGGACCCAAGGUACAGCGUACUCCGCUUGCCUUGACCUGCCCUGUCUGAAUAUUCUACCCAUGUCUUUUGCGUACUUAUUGUUUCCUUGGUGGGCUUGCCUGCCAUUAGGACAACCAUAAAAACCUUUUGUAAUUGCAGUCAGCGUCAGAAAUAACUUAAUAGUUACAACUUUUAACAACG
RNAcentral lists this unclassified non-coding RNA (240 nucleotides) under soil metagenome. RNAcentral's name for it is "partial contains 5.8S ribosomal RNA, internal transcribed spacer 2, and large subunit ribosomal RNA". The record is from RNAcentral.